This 28-nucleotide small RNA is filed under the name Bombyx mori (domestic silkworm). RNAcentral's name for it is "ovarian small RNA-21616". The record is from RNAcentral. Lineage: Eukaryota; Metazoa; Arthropoda; Insecta; Lepidoptera; Bombycidae.
UACUUCAUUGCUAAAGGUCGUGUCCCUG